Molecule: ribosomal RNA, 253 nt
Filed under: uncultured bacterium
Lineage: Bacteria
Description: partial 16S ribosomal RNA
Rfam family: Bacterial small subunit ribosomal RNA
Source: RNAcentral
UACAGAGGUCUCAAGCGUUGUUCGGAUUCAUUGGGCGUAAAGGGUGCGUAGGCGGCGGGGCAAGUCGGAUGUGAAAUCUCAGGGCUCAACCCUGAAACUGCAUUCGAUACUGCCUUGCUCGAGGACUGGAGAGGAGACUGGAAUUUACGGUGUAGCGGUGAAAUGCGUAGAUAUCGUAAGGAAGACCAGUGGCGAAGGCGGGUCUCUGGACAGUUCCUGACGCUGAGGCACGAAGGCCAGGGGAGCAAACGGG